GUGACGGCGCUCCCAGGAGAAGAUAUUCCAUGUGUGGAGUUGUUACGCUAUCUCUAGGAAUGACAGGAGGCUUGGGCUGCGCGCCUGUAACUCCAGCAUUCUGGGAGGCUGAGGAAAGAGCAUGGCAAGUUCAAGCCCUGCCUGGGCCAGUGAGACCCGUCUCGGAAUGAAAGCCCGCUCUGGCUCCCAGGACCCUGGGCAGGAGCUGCCAUGGCCGUUGCCAUCUAUAUCCGAGGGCUUGGUGGAAGAGGAGUCCCUUCCCACUACAUUCACUGGGCGGGGUGUUCACAGUGACCUUGAAGGGUGUGGGCUCCUGGGUCAGGGGCCGCUGAUGUGCACUGAGCAACUGGGCAUGGCCCACACACUCAAGCAGGUUCGGGUCUAGCUUGGGUCGGGGGAUGCGUUAGGUGCAGGACACACAGGGCCAGUGCAAAGGCCCAGGGGCAGGAGGAGCUGGGUGCAUUCAGGAGGAGAGGAGGACAGAGUUAGGGGUGCUCAGCAGGGUCGUGGCGUGCAGCCUGGGUCAGGGAGAGGUCUGGGGUGUGUAAGGUGGUCCUCUGAGUGCUGAGGGGAGGAGGGACACAGGGUCACCUGCUCCAGGCAUCAAGCGGCAAAUGAGGUUAGGGACAAGGCUGGCAGGGCCCUUGAAUGCUGGAAAAGCAGGAGCUGGCAGGCUGGGCCAGUUCAGAGGGGAGUGCCUGGUGACGGGGGUCCGUGUGUCCCACCUGCAGGUGACCCUGGCCCCUACCUUGGAUGGGCAGCGAUGCAAGAGCGGUCGGAGGAGCUGUGGCACCAGGUCCUGGCAGCCCCAGUGCUGACCGGAUGACUGCCUACCUGCCCAGGUCCUGGUGUUUCGAGUCCAGCCCUGGAUCUACUCCCCGACCUUCCCCGCGGAAGGUUUCGCCGCAAAGAUUUCUCCUUCAGCCGUUGUCACUGGGGUGUCAUCCACGACGACAGCCACCGACGCGGCCACUCAGGGACCACAUCCCGGAAGGCCGGGCCCUCAUCCACCGGCUCACCCCAUCCUGUCUCGGUUCCACCCUGGCACCAGGGCCUGAGUCGGGGCGCAGCGUGGGGAGAACCCCAAGGCCUGGGGACCCGAGUGGGCCCGGCUCGGAAGCCAUCCCGAGAGCUGGGGUUCAGCGCCGGCCAAGACUGAGGGUGCGAGCCGGGCCAGGGGACCGGAGGACAGGAGGACCGGCGACAUCCCCAUCCAGCGGAGCUCGGGGCUCCGGGCCUCCGCCACCUCUGGACACCACCACCAGCCGCUCCUCAGGCGCAGGUUCUGGGUUCUGCUCGCUGCCUCAGCGUCC
RNAcentral lists this long non-coding RNA (1313 nucleotides) under Fukomys damarensis (Damara mole-rat). RNAcentral describes it as "lncRNA (ENSFDAG00000029867.1)". The record is from RNAcentral. Lineage: Eukaryota; Metazoa; Chordata; Mammalia; Rodentia; Bathyergidae.